Molecule: ribosomal RNA, 252 nt
Filed under: uncultured Bacteroidales bacterium
Lineage: Bacteria; Pseudomonadati; Bacteroidota; Bacteroidia; Bacteroidales
Description: partial 16S ribosomal RNA
Rfam family: Bacterial small subunit ribosomal RNA
Source: RNAcentral
UACGGAGGAUCCGAGCGUUAUCCGGAUUUAUUGGGUUUAAAGGGUGCGUAGGCGGGCUUUUAAGUCAGCGGUAAAAAUUCGGGGCUCAACCCCGGCCCGCCGUUGAAACUGUCAGACUUGAGUUGGCGAGAAGUACGCGGAAUGCGCGGUGUAGCGGUGAAAUGCAUAGAUAUCGCGCAGAACUCCGAUUGCGAAGGCAGCGUACCGGCGCCACACUGACGCUGAGGCACGAAAGCGUGGGGAUCGAACAGG